UUAGAGUUUGAUCAUGGCUCAGGAUGAACGCUGGCGGCGUGCCUAAUACAUGCAAGUCGAGCGAAUGGAUUAAGAGCUUGCUCUUAUGAAGUUAGCGGCGGACGGGUGAGUAACACGUGGGUAACCUGCCCAUAAGACUGGGAUAACUCCGGGAAACCGGGGCUAAUACCGGAUAACAUUUUGAACGCAUGGUUCGAAAUUGAAAGGCGGCUUCGGCUGUCACUUAUGGAUGGACCCGCGUCGCAUUAGCUAGUUGGUGAGGUAACGGCUCACCAAGGCAACGAUGCGUAGCCGACCUGAGAGGGUGAUCGGCCACACUGGGACUGAGACACGGCCCAGACUCCUACGGGAGGCAGCAGUAGGGAAUCUUCCGCAAUGGACGAAAGUCUGACGGAGCAACGCCGCGUGAGUGAUGAAGGCUUUCGGGUCGUAAAACUCUGUUGUUAGGGAAGAACAAGUGCUAGUUGAAUAAGCUGGCCCCUGACCGGACUAACGAAGCGA
This 501-nucleotide ribosomal RNA is filed under the name Bacillus thuringiensis. RNAcentral's name for it is "bacterial SSU rRNA". It matches the Rfam family "Bacterial small subunit ribosomal RNA", at positions 1 to 493 of the family's 1533-position model. The record is from RNAcentral. Lineage: Bacteria; Bacillati; Bacillota; Bacilli; Caryophanales; Bacillaceae.